This 130-nucleotide ribosomal RNA is filed under the name Petromyzon marinus (sea lamprey). The record is from RNAcentral. Lineage: Eukaryota; Metazoa; Chordata; Hyperoartia; Petromyzontiformes; Petromyzontidae.
GCUGUACGAUCGUCGUCAUGCCCAAGCAUCGUGAAUGUACUCGGUCUCGUAGAUGUCAGACGUCAAGUGCGUUCGGGCCUGGUUAGUACUCGGAUAGCAAACUGCCUGUGAAUACCAAGUAUUGUUAGCU